This 575-nucleotide ribosomal RNA is filed under the name uncultured bacterium. RNAcentral describes it as "bacterial SSU rRNA". It matches the Rfam family "Bacterial small subunit ribosomal RNA", at positions 338 to 913 of the family's 1533-position model. The record is from RNAcentral.
CCUACGGGAGGCAGCAGUAAGGAAUAUUGGUCAAUGGACGCAAGUCUGAACCAGCCAUGCCGCGUGAAGGAUUAAGGUCCUCUGGAUUGUAAACUUCUUUUAUCUGGGACGAAAAAAGGCGAUUCUUCGUCACUUGACGGUACCAGAUGAAUAAGCACCGGCUAACUCCGUGCCAGCAGCCGCGGUAAUACGGAGGGUGCAAGCGUUAUCCGGAUUCACUGGGUUUAAAGGGUGCGUAGGCGGGCAGGUAAGUCAGUGGUGAAAUCCUAGAGCUUAACUCUAGAACUGCCAUUGAUACUAUCUGUCUUGAAUAUUGUGGAGGUAAGCGGAAUAUGUCAUGUAGCGGUGAAAUGCUUAGAUAUGACAUAGAACACCUAUUGCGAAGGCAGCUUACUACGCAUAUAUUGACGCUGAGGCACGAAAGCGUGGGGAUCAAACAGGAUUAGAUACCCUGGUAGUCCACGCCCUAAACGAUGAUUACUCGACAUUUGUGAUACACUAUAAGUGUCUGAGCGAAAGCAUUAAGUAAUCCACUUGGGAAGUACGACCGCAAGGUUGAAACUCAAAGGAAUUGA